RNAcentral lists this ribosomal RNA (439 nucleotides) under uncultured bacterium. RNAcentral describes it as "partial 16S ribosomal RNA". It matches the Rfam family "Bacterial small subunit ribosomal RNA", at positions 338 to 795 of the family's 1533-position model. The record is from RNAcentral.
CCUACGGGAGGCAGCAGUGGGGGAUAUUGCACAAUGGGCGAAAGCCUGAUGCAGCGACGCCGCGUGAGGGAAGACGGUCUUCGGAUUUUUAACCUUUGUCUUUGGGGAAGAAAAUGACGGUACCCAAAGAGGAAUCUCCGUCUAACUACGUUCCAGCAGCCGCGGUAAUACGUCGGGAGCAAGGGUUGUCCGGAAUUACUGGGAGAAAGGGGAGCGUAGGCGGGAUGGCAAGUAGAAUGUUAAAUCCAUCGGCUCAACCGGUGGCGGCGUUCUAAACUGCCGUUCUUGAGUGAAGUAGAGGCAGGCGGAAUUCCUGGUGUAGCGGUGAAAUGCGUAGAUAUUAGGAGGAACACCAGUGGCGAAGGCGGCCUGCUGGGCUUUAACUGACGCUGAGGCUCGAAAGCGUGGGGAGCAAACAGGAUGAGAUACCCUUGUAGUC